AGCAGCCGCGGUAAUUCCAGCUCCAAUAGCGUAUAUUAAAGUUGCUGCAGUUAAAAAGCUCGUAGUUGAAUUUCGGGACCAAUAUGUCGGUCGUGCCUCGGUACGUACUGGCAUCGUUGGUUUCUCCCUUCUGACGAACCAUGAUGUCAUUUAUUUGGUGUCGUGGGGAAUCAGGACUGUUACUUUGAAAAAUUAGAGUGUUUAAAGCAGGCUCACGCUUGAAUACAUUAGCAUGGAAUAAUGAAAUAGGACGUUUGAUUCUAUUUUGUUGGUUUCUAGGAUCGACGUAAUGAUUAAUAGGGAUAGUUGGGGGCAUUAGUAUUCAAUUGUCAGAGGUGAAAUUCUUGGAUUUAUUGAAGACUAACUACUGCGAAAGCAUUUGCCAAGGAUGUUUUCAUUAAUCAAGAACGAAAGUUAGGGGAUCGAAGACGAUCAGAUACCGUCGUAGUCUUAACCUUAAACUAUGCCGACUAGGGAUCGGAUGAUGUUAAUUUUUUAAUGACUCAUUCGGCGCCUUAAC
RNAcentral lists this ribosomal RNA (520 nucleotides) under uncultured Glomus. Its description in RNAcentral is "SSU rRNA". It matches the Rfam family "Eukaryotic small subunit ribosomal RNA", at positions 569 to 1092 of the family's 1831-position model. Lineage: Eukaryota; Fungi; Glomeromycota; Glomeromycetes; Glomerales; Glomeraceae. The record is from RNAcentral.